Molecule: ribosomal RNA, 776 nt
Filed under: uncultured Neocallimastigales
Lineage: Eukaryota; Fungi; Neocallimastigomycota; Neocallimastigomycetes; Neocallimastigales
Description: partial large subunit ribosomal RNA
Rfam family: Eukaryotic large subunit ribosomal RNA
Source: RNAcentral
AGAGAGAGACAUGCGCGCAUAUCAAUAAGCGGAGGAAAAGAAACUAACUAGGAUUCCCUCAGUAACGGCGAGUGAAGCGGGAAGAGCUCAAAUUUGAAAUCUUCAAGGUUCUACCUUGACGAAUUGUAGUUUAAAGAAGUGUUUUCUGUUGAAGUUUUGGUAAAAGUUCUUUGGAAUAGGACAUCAUAGAGGGUGAGAAUCCCGUAUUUGACCAUUAUUUUCAGCUGUGUGAUACACUUUCAAAGAGUCGGAUUGUUUGGGAAUGCAGUCCAAAAUGGGUGGUAAAUUUCAUCUAAAGCUAAAUAUUGGCGAGAGACCGAUAGCGAACAAGUACCGUGAGGGAAAGAUGAAAAGAACUUUGAAAAGAGAGUUAAACAGUACGUGAAAUUGUCAAAAGGGAAGCGUUUGACAGCCAGUGUUGUUUUCUCGAAAAUCAAUUAAAAAAGGCAGGAUUUUGUGUUGUAUUGACUUUAUCAGCUUUCUGCACUCUUUUCUUGUCUUUUUUAAUGCACUUUUCGUUUAACAAGUCAACAUCAAUUUCUUUUGUUGUAAAAGGGUCAUUGGAAGGUGGCUUUCUUUUCGGAGAAAGUGUUUAUAGGCCUUUGGCCUCUGCAAUCGGAGAGAUUGAGGUCUGCAGCGUAGAUCCUUCGGGGCUAGAUACAUUUGUGCUAAGUUAUAGCCUUUCAUAGACAACUUGUUGACUAUGAUCAGUCAUGUAGCUUACUCGCUUAUGUUAUUUUACCUACGCUUAGGAUGUUGAUGUGAUACUGCGAGCA